GAAUAUUGCGCAAUGGACGAAAGUCUGACGCAGCAACGCCGCGUGCAGGAUGACGGCCCUCCGGGUUGUAAACUGCUGUAGCAGGGGAAUAAUACUCGCUUAUGGCGAGUUGAAGGUACCCUGAAAGUAAGCUCCGGCUAACUACGUGCCAGCAGCCGCGGUAAUACGUAGGGAGCAAGCGUUGUCCGGAUUUACUGGGUGUAAAGGGUGCGCAGGCGGAUUAGUAAGUCAGGGGUGAAAUCUCACGGCUCAACCGUGAAAUUGCCUUUGAUACUGCUAAUCUUGAGUUCGGGAGAGGUCGAUGGAAUUCCAGGUGUAGCGGUGAAAUGCUUAGAUAUCUGGAAGAACACCAGUAGCGAAGGCGGUCGACUGGCCCGUAACUGACGCUCAGGCACGAAAGCGUGGGGAGCGAACAGGA
Molecule: ribosomal RNA, 418 nt
Filed under: uncultured bacterium
Lineage: Bacteria
Description: bacterial SSU rRNA
Rfam family: Bacterial small subunit ribosomal RNA
Source: RNAcentral